RNAcentral lists this ribosomal RNA (497 nucleotides) under uncultured bacterium. RNAcentral's name for it is "partial 16S ribosomal RNA". It matches the Rfam family "Bacterial small subunit ribosomal RNA", at positions 28 to 507 of the family's 1533-position model. The record is from RNAcentral.
GAUGAACGCUGGCGGCGUGCCUAAUACAUGCAAGUCGAGCGAACAGACGAGGAGCUUGCUCCUCUGACGUUAGCGGCGGACGGGUGAGUAACACGUGGAUAACCUACCUAUAAGACUGGGAUAACUUCGGGAAACCGGAGCUAAUACCGGAUAAUAUAUUGAACCGCAUGGUUCAAUAGUGAAAGACGGUUUUGCUGUCACUUAUAGAUGGAUCCGCGCCGCAUUAGCUAGUUGGUAAGGUAACGGCUUACAAAGGCAACGAUGCGUAGCCGACCUGAGAGGGUGAUCGGCCACACUGGAACUGAGACACGGUCCAGACUCCUACGGGAGGAAGCAGUAGGGAAUCUUCCGCAAUGGGCGAAAGUUUGACGGAGCAACGCCGCGUGAGUGAUGAAGGUCUUCGGAUCGUAAAACUCUGUUAUUAGGGAAGAACAAAUGUGUAAGUAACUAUGCACGUCUUGACGGUACCUAAUCAGAAAGCCACGGCUAACUACGUG